Esox lucius (northern pike) is the source of this 880-nucleotide long non-coding RNA. NCBI's taxonomy places the organism in Eukaryota, Metazoa, Chordata, Actinopteri, Esociformes, Esocidae. The record is from Ensembl.
CAACGCAAGAUGGUUUUCCACACAUUGGUAGAAAUUUUUAAUAAUAGUCCAUGUUGGUUAAAAAAAAAACUGUAGUAUUUGCGAUUACCGGUUUGUGUUAGUAUGGGCGUAUGCUGUCACUUAUAGGUUGAGUGGAAUUAAACACCAGCUGUGUUUUGUAAAACAAAUGUGGGGCCUUCAAAUCUUGACCAAGUGACCAGCAUCUGUGUCAGUUGGACUGGGCGGUUGUGAACUUAUACAACCUGAGCAGAUACUUUUUGUAUUGAGGACAGCCCGGUGAUGAUACAGAGUACAUUACCAUAAUAGAUUCAGUUACGGACACCCUACCUUGUGGCUGCACAGCGUGAGGGGAUUUUUGUUUCAUUGUUUUCUUUCAUGCUUGAAAGCUGAAGGUAAUACAGUCAACUCAUCAAAACUGUGAUGUAUGUAAAUGUAUGUUUGAGUUAGAAUAGUUUAACCUGAAAAGUGGAUCGUUAUUUACACGUUAAGCUAGAGAAAUGGCGAAAGAUAAUGCUAACAGACCAGACACAGAACAGCCAACAACCUCUACACAUAAUCAACCGACCACACCCCAAAAUACAAAUGAACCAACUAUUACUUCGUUACACAGCAAUGCAGACAAUAAUCCUCAGAUACAAGGCUUGUUAACCUAGCUUAGUAGCCCCCAUUUUUCACACAAUCUAGUUGACUCUUCUUCGAGCUCUCUGAUGCAAACUCAGUGCAGUGAUGGCGAUGUUAGAGUUAUACAACGUAAUGCGUUUCACAAUGUUGAAUUACGACAGUUGAUACAUUUACAAAAUACUGGUGAAGUUGGUGAUUUUGGCACAUUCUAUGCAAGUAUUAUGUCGGGCUUGGAUACUUGUUAGAGCUUCAGACUUUG